GGUCAAUCCCGUGUUAAUCCAGAUUAAUUCCCAUGUCAAUCCCGUGUCAAUUGCAUGUCAAUCCCAUGUUAAUCCAGAUUCAAUCCCAUGCCAAUCCCAUGUCAAUCCCAUGUUAAUCCCGUGUCAAUCCAGAUUCAAUCCUGUAUCAAUCCAGAUUCCACCCCGUGUCAAUCCCAUGUUAAUCCAGAUUUAAUCCCGUGUCAGUCCCAUGUUAAUCCAGAUUCCACCCCGUGCUAAUCCCGUGCCAAUCCCAUGUUAAUCCCGUGCCAAUCCCGUGCUAAUCCCAUGUUAAUCCCGUGCCAAUCCCAUGUUAAUCCGGUGUUAAUCCCGUGUUAAUCCCGUGUCCGUCCCGUGUUGCCCCCCAGGACCACCCCCCGUGGGACCACCGCCUCAUUAACCUCGGGCAUUAAUCACCCCUCCCCUAAUCACCCCCUCGCCCACAAUUAACGCCGUGUGCCUAAUUAAUUAAUUACCG
RNAcentral lists this long non-coding RNA (475 nucleotides) under Anser cygnoides (Swan goose). RNAcentral describes it as "lncRNA (ENSACDG00005016469.1)". The record is from RNAcentral. Lineage: Eukaryota; Metazoa; Chordata; Aves; Anseriformes; Anatidae.